Molecule: unclassified non-coding RNA, 343 nt
Filed under: soil metagenome
Description: partial contains 5.8S ribosomal RNA, internal transcribed spacer 2, and large subunit ribosomal RNA
Rfam family: 5.8S ribosomal RNA (bases 1-120)
Source: RNAcentral
GAUGAAGAACGUAGCGAAAUGCGAUAAGUAAUGUGAAUUGCAGAAUUCAGUGAAUCAUCGAAUCUUUGAACGCACAUUGCGCCCUAUGGUAUUCCGUAGGGCAUGCCUGUUCGAGCGUCAUUACAACCCUCAAGCUCCGCUUGGUAUUGGGCGUCGUCCCCUAAACGGACGUGCCUCAAAGACCUCGGCGGUGGCGUCUUUGCCUCAAGCGUAGUAAUAUUUUUAUCUCGCUUUGGAGUCGAAGGCGUCGCCCGCCGGACGAAACCUUUAUUUUUUCUAUCAAGGUUGACCUCGGAUCAGGUAGGGAUACCCGCUGAACUUAAGCAUAUCAAUAAGCGGAGGA